RNAcentral lists this ribosomal RNA (468 nucleotides) under uncultured bacterium. RNAcentral describes it as "partial 16S ribosomal RNA". It matches the Rfam family "Bacterial small subunit ribosomal RNA", at positions 28 to 507 of the family's 1533-position model. The record is from RNAcentral.
GACGAACGCUGGCGGCGUGCUUAACACAUGCAAGUCGAACGGAAAGGCCCUGCUUUUGUGGGGUGCUCGAGUGGCGAACGGGUGAGUAACACGUGAGUAACCUGCCCUUGACUUUGGGAUAACUUCAGGAAACUGGGGCUAAUACCGGAUAGGAGCUCCUGCUGCAUGGUGGGGGUUGGAAAGUUUCGGCGGUUGGGGAUGGACUCGCGGCUUAUCAGCUUGUUGGUGGGGUAGUGGCUCACCAAGGCUUUGACGGGUAGCCGGCCUGAGAGGGUGACCGGCCACAUUGGGACUGAGAUACGGCCCAGACUCUUACGGGAGGCAGCAGUGGGGAAUAUUGCACGAUGGGCGGAAGCCUGAUGCAGCAACGCCGCGUGCGGGAUGACGGCCUUCGGGUUGUAAACCGCUUUCGCCUGUGACGAAGCGUGAGUGACGGUAAUGGGUAAAGAAGCACCGGCUAACUACGUG